This is a long non-coding RNA of Topomyia yanbarensis, 627 nucleotides long. RefSeq lists it as uncharacterized. Lineage: Eukaryota; Metazoa; Arthropoda; Insecta; Diptera; Culicidae. The transcript is spliced from 3 exons. The record is from RefSeq and is a predicted model, not a curated record.
UAGAACAAUCUAUCAAUCAUCCCUCCAUCCGGAUAACGGUUCGGGACUCAAAAUAAAUUCUGUAUGGAUUCCGUGCAGCUUUUUGUUGCUAUCAACAUUCGGUUAGUAUCGUUCAUUUACAAAGUUACAGCAGUAUAUAAUCAAUGACGGCGCCGGUAGUUGAGUGGUAAGCGUGGCCACCACUCGCCCCUCAAUCCCAGCCGAGGUCAUUAAGUUUUUUCUGAGGUGAAAAAAAUCUUGAAACAUUGAAGCAUCCAAAUGAAGAUAAAAAAUAAAAAUGCAUUGAAUACUGAUACCUCUACUUCUAUACUGGCGGAAGCGAUAAUAAUUAUUGUUCUUGGUCAUAUAAAUUUCGGUGAUAUAAACCAUGCUCUCUAUCAUGGGCAUUGUAUUACAGGAUCGGAACUCGAAUGCUGCGGUGGCAAGUAAUACGGCCGGUGGACAACAAGGAAUGCCCCCCGAUAGUGCGGAAUAUAGUCUAACCAACGUCUCAAUUAAACAUUUCAAAUGUCUCAUGACCUUACAUACAUGAACUGAAAAUCGACCAGGCCAAUCACAUACCCUUUCUCCAUGAGCCCAACAUAGUGACGAGGAAGAGUAAGGAUUCAAGUAUGGUGCCCAGUACAU